RNAcentral lists this ribosomal RNA (1363 nucleotides) under unidentified marine bacterioplankton. Its description in RNAcentral is "bacterial SSU rRNA". It matches the Rfam family "Bacterial small subunit ribosomal RNA", at positions 9 to 1371 of the family's 1533-position model. The record is from RNAcentral.
GAGUUUGAUCAUGGCUCAGAUUGAACGCUGGCGGCAUGCCCUACACAUGCAAGUCGAACGGCAGCACGGGUGCUUGCACCUGGUGGCGAGUGGCGAACGGGUGAGUAAUACAUCGGAACAUGUCCUGUAGUGGGGGAUAGCCCGGCGAAAGCCGGAUUAAUACCGCAUACGAUCUACGGAUGAAAGCGGGGGACCUUCGGGCCUCGCGCUAUAGGGUUGGCCGAUGGCUGAUUAGCUAGUUGGUGGGGUAAAGGCCUACCAAGGCGACGAUCAGUAGCUGGUCUGAGAGGACGACCAGCCACACUGGGACUGAGACACGGCCCAGACUCCUACGGGAGGCAGCAGUGGGGAAUUUUGGACAAUGGGCGAAAGCCUGAUCCAGCAAUGCCGCGUGUGUGAAGAAGGCCUUCGGGUUGUAAAGCACUUUUGUCCGGAAAGAAAUCCUUGGCUCUAAUACAGUCGGGGGAUGACGGUACCGGAAGAAUAAGCACCGGCUAACUACGUGCCAGCAGCCGCGGUAAUACGUAGGGUGCGAGCGUUAAUCGGAAUUACUGGGCGUAAAGCGUGCGCAGGCGGUUUGCUAAGACCGAUGUGAAAUCCCCGGGCUCAACCUGGGAACUGCAUUGGUGACUGGCAGGCUAGAGUAUGGCAGAGGGGGGUAGAAUUCCACGUGUAGCAGUGAAAUGCGUAGAGAUGUGGAGGAAUACCGAUGGCGAAGGCAGCCCCCUGGGCCAAUACUGACGCUCAUGCACGAAAGCGUGGGGAGCAAACAGGAUUAGAUACCCUGGUAGUCCACGCCCUAAACGAUGUCAACUAGUUGUUGGGGAUUCAUUUCCUUAGUAACGUAGCUAACGCGUGAAGUUGACCGCCUGGGGAGUACGGUCGCAAGAUUAAAACUCAAAGGAAUUGACGGGGACCCGCACAAGCGGUGGAUGAUGUGGAUUAAUUCGAUGCAACGCGAAAAACCUUACCUACCCUUGACAUGGUCGGAAUCCCGCUGAGAGGUGGGAGUGCUCGAAAGAGAACCGGCGCACAGGUGCUGCAUGGCUGUCGUCAGCUCGUGUCGUGAGAUGUUGGGUUAAGUCCCGCAACGAGCGCAACCCUUGUCCUUAGUUGCUACGCAAGAGCACUCUAAGGAGACUGCCGGUGACAAACCGGAGGAAGGUGGGGAUGACGUCAAGUCCUCAUGGCCCUUAUGGGUAGGGCUUCACACGUCAUACAAUGGUCGGAACAGAGGGUUGCCAACCCGCGAGGGGGAGCUAAUCCCAGAAAACCGAUCGUAGUCCGGAUUGCACUCUGCAACUCGAGUGCAUGAAGCUGGAAUCGCUAGUAAUCGCGGAUCAGCAUGCCGCGGUGAAUACGU